CGGGACGGGUGAGUAAUGUCUGGGAAACUGCCUGAUGGAGGGGGAUAACUACUGGAAACGGUAGCUAAUACCGCAUAACGUCGCAAGACCAAAGAGGGGGACCUUAGGGCCUCUUGCCAUCGGAUGUGCCCAGAUGGGAUUAGCUAGUAGGUGGGGUAACGGCUCACCUAGGCGACGAUCCCUAGCUGGUCUGAGAGGAUGACCAGCCACACUGGAACUGAGGCACGGUCCAG
RNAcentral lists this ribosomal RNA (233 nucleotides) under uncultured bacterium. RNAcentral describes it as "partial 16S ribosomal RNA". It matches the Rfam family "Bacterial small subunit ribosomal RNA", at positions 100 to 334 of the family's 1533-position model. The record is from RNAcentral.